RNAcentral lists this long non-coding RNA (714 nucleotides) under Ovis aries (sheep). RNAcentral describes it as "lncRNA (ENSOARG00000026972.1)". The record is from RNAcentral. Lineage: Eukaryota; Metazoa; Chordata; Mammalia; Artiodactyla; Bovidae.
GUUGCCCUUGAAUUAGGGAGGACACAAAGCCAUCUGUUUAAACCAAGACCCCUCCUCUCUCUAGAAUACGAACUGUUCUGUUCAUCCAGAGGCAAGAUACAAAAAACUCCCCGACUGCUCAGCUGCAAUGCAUGUCAAUGUGGAAACAACAUCUACUUUAAAGACAGAAUGAUUUGCAACACACCUGAAAAUAAUCUGAAGACUGUUCCUCUAAUUACCAACUGGCUAAUUAAGAGACAGUUUAUUGGAAAAGCUUCAACUGUAACUCACCUUCAAGACCACAAUUUACUUGCACCAUACAGCCAAGAUUCUGGAGAACUUAUAUAAUCUUAGCCAUUAAGAUUGUGGGAUUUACAUAAAAAGUAGAGCCAAGUUGGAAAAGAUUGAUUUGGGGUGAUAAAAAACUUAAUUGAAGGGCAUUGCCCAUUUGUCAUUUCAAACAGAACUUCUGGAACUCCUCAUCUAAUAUGCAGAACCGACUGGAGGAAAUUCACAACUCUCAAACUAGACUUGUAGGAAAGAGAGGUGUCCUUUGAUAUCUCUACUUCCCUUCCUUUUCUUAUUUAACUCCUUUUAACCAACUCAUUUACACAAUUAUGUUUUAUGAUAUUAUCUAUUGAAUCCCUCCAAUAGUCAAUUUAAAUAGUCAGUUUUAUAUUCUAGUCUCUUCUACAUGCCUCAGCAAAAACAUAAACAUUUCACUUUCCUCUGUUC